AUCCUGUCCACGUUCACGGAUAUCAUACACAAAGUGGCUGGUCUGGAAUAAGGACCUUCUUUCCUUGGUGUUUUCUAUCGACCUUUCAUUCCCUAAACAUGAAGGUGGGAUUAGUGAUCAUUCCAAUGGUGUUGAUGCUGUCUAAGAAAAGUCAUUCAAUUACAGUUUCAAGCAUCGAUUGCGGUGGCGUAUGCUCUGCAACUAUUGGAUCCAGUUACACCCUCACCUGCAGAUGGAGCGGAACAUUACAAUAUGGCAUUACGUGGAAGAAGGACGGAUCUAUGGUAGUCACAUGUGGUACUGCUACAUGUCUUCCAUCAGUAGCUGGCUAUGCGAAUGGGAGUUACCUCAAUUCUCAAAUGGCACAACUACACAUCGCAUCAUUCAGCAAUGCAGAUGUUGGAAACUGGAGUUGCAGUGAUGGAAAUGACACAUCUAAAACCUGUAGAACAACACCAGCUCGAAGAAAUAUCGCCUUGGAAGCAUCAUGUAAAAGGGUUGGAAGGAGUCGGCUGGUGACGUGUACUUUAAAUGACCAUGGAUCACCGCCCAUAACACUUGAAAUGAGGUCAAAAGACGACGUAGUAGAUUCAACCACCUCAGAAGGCCAAUUGAAACGGACGUACCUAGGAAGCCGUGUAUCGUCAUAUACCUGUGCGGUAGCCGGAGAGAGAUCUGAAUGUGUAACACCGAAAUCAAAAUCGACAACGUGUGGUGACUUUGAAGUACUGAUUGCUGGUAGCGUCAUAAUCGUUAUUCUCAUUCCUUGUGUGGUCGGAUGUCUCCUCUACAUCAAGUGUGCAAACAAGAGAAGAUUAUGUUUGUCCUUUUACAUAAUCAAUGGCACCCUCCUAGCCGCUGGCGUUGUGCUCCUCGUCAUGAUCUUCAUACGAAAUACUGACAUUUCAGAUUACAAUGAUCCCCUGUUCCUAUCUGCUGCCUUCAUCGUCUUCGCCGGGUUGAUUGUUGGGAUUGUGGCGAGCAUUAUUCUACACAAGUGUCACGUAAACAGUUCACAUUGACGUAUUCACAACGUUAUAGUUGUGGCAGAAUUGUCAUUAAAUAUCUCAGAUACAUGACUGAUUAAAACAACAAUGGGAUAUGUUUGUGAUGAAAAUCCGAAUAUAAUUUGACAUUUAAAUGUCUAUGUUUAUUUUGCCAGCGUAAUAGAUAUAUCAUCUUGUUAAAUCUUGAGCAUAUUUGUGACGUUACCUAGUUAUCUAUUUUAGCUACUGGUGAAUUUCAAAACUCACCGAAAAUAAAAAAUGAGCCACUUUGUUCCUUAUUCAUCCAUUAGAGAGUCGUGACAUCGCUAAGUAUUCAAUGACAACACAAAGUCUAGGAGUCGGCUGUAGUCAUCAUCUCAAGAUGUAAAUGCACAUUGUGCAUACAAUAUGGGUUGGGGAUGGGUCAAGGGCGGAGAGCUUUGACGUUGCUUGUUGCAUAAUAGGAAGUACGUAUGGCCAAAGAAUUUAGUUUGUGUAACAUUUUGACGUUAAUUUGCCCUGCACAAGUACCAAGUCUGUUCUGUCGGUAUGGGAGACGGCAGCACACAUAAUUACGUUGAGCUUCUGGCAGUCAGUCUUGGAAUGUUUCACAGUUUACUAGUUGUGCAAUUGUGAUCACAGACAAAUGAAACCCAAUCUUUUUCAUAGCCUAACAACUCAUGUUGCAUGUUCAUUUCAUGUUGGUGUGUUUGGUCGCCACGCAUGCGUUUCUCCCAUUUUUUUGUUUGUAUUUUUGGCCGUACUUCAUUCCAUCCAAUUACUCUUGAUGCAUGCAUAUUUGGUAUUCCUUUCGUAUGAAUACCAGCAAACAUUCCGUCAUAUGUUUCCAAUUUUUCUACUUAUGGGUAGCUUUACUGCAGAGUAUAUAUAGGAACACUGAAUGAUCGGGGGUCACUUAGAAGUGCUUUUAUAGGGUUAUUUUUGUUAAUUCAUCAGGAGCAGAAAGAUAAUUAGAUACCUAUAAUAAAUAUUUCAGUAAACGUAUCUAUAAAUGAAUACAUCCGCUCAGUUUGCAAAAUGCAUACAGUUUACUGUACAAAAUUAUAAUGUUGCUGUAUUAGUAAAGUCUCUUAAAGCGUC
Molecule: unclassified non-coding RNA, 2087 nt
Filed under: Haliotis rubra (blacklip abalone)
Lineage: Eukaryota; Metazoa; Mollusca; Gastropoda; Lepetellida; Haliotidae
Description: uncharacterized LOC124254603, transcript variant X2
Source: RNAcentral